CCUACGGGAGGCAGCAGUGAGGAAUAUUGGUCAAUGGGCGCGAGCCUGAACCAGCCAAGUCGCGUGAGGGAGGACGGCCCUACGGGUUGUAAACCUCUUUUGUCGGGGAGCAACGGGCGCCACGUGUGGCGUCACUGAGAGUACCCGGAGAAAAAGCAUCGGCUAACUACGUGCCAGCAGCCGCGGUAAUACGUAGGUGGCAAGCGUUAUCCGGAUUUAUUGGGUGUAAAGGGCGUGUAGGCGGGAGCGCAAGUCAGAUGUGAAAACUCAGGGCUCAACCCUGAGCCUGCAUUUGAAACUGUGUUUCUUGAGUGCUGGAGAGGCAAUCGGAAUUCCGUGUGUAGCGGUGAAAUGCGUAGAUAUACGGAGGAACACCAGUGGCGAAGGCGGAUUGCUGGACAGUAACUGACGCUGAGGCGCGAAAGCGUGGGGAGCAAACAGGAUUAGAUACCCCUGUAGUC
Molecule: ribosomal RNA, 461 nt
Filed under: uncultured bacterium
Lineage: Bacteria
Description: partial 16S ribosomal RNA
Rfam family: Bacterial small subunit ribosomal RNA
Source: RNAcentral